RNAcentral lists this microRNA precursor (117 nucleotides) under Melampsora larici-populina 98AG31. Its description in RNAcentral is "microRNA MIR807". The record is from RNAcentral. Lineage: Eukaryota; Fungi; Basidiomycota; Pucciniomycetes; Pucciniales; Melampsoraceae.
AUUCACAUAUGUGUGAAAUUCACAUAUGUGUGAAUCCCAUUCACAUGUGUGAAUCCCAUUCACAUAUGUGUGAAUCCCAUUCACAUAUGUGUGAAUCCCAUUCACAUAUGUGUGAAU